UAUAGUGUCAACUUUAAAAAAAACGAGUUAAAUUCUAGACAGCAGAUGCAUCAGCAUGUCUGGGGAGAUGUGUAUAGUUUGAAAAAGAGUAAUUCAAUGUCAUCAUUUUAUAUUUGGAAAAUGGAAAGAAAAACUCUAUCAUUUUCAUCAUUCAAACUUUAAAAAGUGAAGCGACUCAAAAUCUUCUUGGCUGGCACCGAUACCCAGAGCAGCAACCGUUAUCUCACGGGUGGCCACACGGCAGGAUUGCAUGUACAUACGAGAUCUAUAAAUACAUCUAUAUUUUUAAUAUGCAUAGAUAUAUAUAAAUAUAUUAUGCAUAUUAGCCAGCCCUGGUGGUCUAGUGGUUAAGAUCUGGCUCUCUCACCACCUUGGCCUGGGUUCAUUUCCCAGUCAGGGAAUCACCCUCCGUGUCCUGGUUGUCACACUGUGGUGGCUGCAUGUUGCUGUGAUGCUGAAAGCUGUGUCACCAGGAUUUCAAAUACCUGCAGGGUCACCCAUGACGGACAGGUUUCAGCAAAGCUUCCAGACUAAGACAGACUAGGAAGAAGGACCUGGCCACCCACUUCCAGAAAAAGUGCCCAUGCAGUGGAACAGCGUCUGAUAGAGCCCGGAAGGUGAGAGGAUGGCGCAAAAGAACCGGGCAGGUUCCGCCCUGCUGUCCACAGGGUCGCCAGGAGUCGGAAUUGACUCAGCAGCACCAACAAGAAUAUCAUAUUACAUAUAAUAUUCACAAUAAAAACCCUGGCAAGUCCCAAGCGUACCGUGAACAGUGAUGGUCUCGGGAUGUCAGAUUGUGGGUGGUCUCUAUUCUUUGUACACACACUGGUAAACUUCCCUACGUGGGUACUAAAACUUGACAAAACUCUUUUAAAAUCCUAUCUAAAUUGGAACCAUCUUUUUGAAGGACAAUAUAUGCCACGAGCCUUAAAAACAAGCAUGCCUUUUGGCCCAGUAAUUUGACUUCUAGAAACGUACUCUAAAGAAAUGGACGUGCGCAGAAAUUUAUGUACAAAGAUGCCCGGACAGCGUUUCUUAUGCUGACGUGGCCUGGAAACGCAAUUAUCCAACAACAAGGGCAGGUUAAAUAAAUGAUGAGGGAUCCAGGAUGACCGGACGCCAGCGAGCUGUUAGAGUUCACGCUAGUGACCAUCAAAUGCCCUGCGAGGAAGUGCGGAUGGGUUAUUAAGGAGAAUCUCAAGAAAUGACAAAGAGCCAGUCUGAGGUGUUGCUGGGCGACUGUGAGCCCCUGAGCACAGACGCCACCCACAUCUGUGACGCACUGAUGUCUCCCCAGUGCCAAGAAACCCUCGAUAAACAUUUUUUUGCUGUGGAACUCCAUCCUACAUAAAAAUAAUGCUGACUCCCUCUCUCUAUUCUGUGUGUGCAAACACACACACACACUUCACACACACACAUUCAUUAUACACACCAGUCAUUCACUUCACAGAAACACCCCAGGAGCAGGUGCUCUUCCAAGACCUGGGGACACGGGCGCAGCAGGGAACAAAAGACCCAAAUCCCUGUGCCCUGGCAGCGCGCAUUCUAGGGAAAGAGACGGACGCUGAGGAAGAUAAAGAUGGAGUGGGGCCUUAUGAGAAUGAGGCCUCCCUCUGAGUGGGCCGGAAGCCACCUGAGGGCUCAGCACACAGGAGAAGCUUCUGGCUCCGUGCGGGGGGUGUUUAUUUUCUUCUUUAAGCUUUUCUGUAGUUUCUAACCCUUUGACAUUGACCAUUACUCACGAGUACAUAUAAUUCACAAUUUUUAAAAAUCCCAUCUGCCUUUCAGGUUCCAGUUCAAAUGACGCCUCUCCUGGGAGGCCUGCCUGGAUUCCCACCAGCCCCAACAGAGCCCCCUCUUCUGUGACUGCCCAAGGCCCAGCCUGCCUGGAAUCAGAAGGGGCAGUCUCCACCAGGGCCAGCCUGGACACCCAAUCCCGAGGGCAACGGCCUCCUGGGGACACACAGAGGCCCGGGAGCCCCUGGAUUCUGUGGGAACAAGGCUCUGCCUCCCCAGGGGGUCCCCCAGUUCUGUCCCUCCCUCCAGGACUGUGCAAACCAGGCCCCUUUUUCCUGUCACCUUUGCCUGUUCCUCCGAGUCCCUCACAUACCACGGAGGCUCCUGGAAGCCUCGAGCUAAGAAAUCCACUAGAUGGGGGAGCCCCAGGGGUUCCUUGGAGGGGCCCUCAUGGGAGACUGGGGGGCCUGGGUGGACGGGGCACACCAGCCGUCGCCUGUCUUGGGCUUCCUCCUUAGAAGGUGUGUACAGGGGUGGGGUGAAAGUUU
Long non-coding RNA from Equus asinus (donkey), 2285 nucleotides. NCBI's taxonomy places the organism in Eukaryota, Metazoa, Chordata, Mammalia, Perissodactyla, Equidae. The record is from Ensembl.